Molecule: non-coding RNA, 267 nt
Organism: Hydra vulgaris (swiftwater hydra)
Lineage: Eukaryota; Metazoa; Cnidaria; Hydrozoa; Anthoathecata; Hydridae
Source: RefSeq, a predicted model, not a curated record
ACAAGAGAGUUAAAGCAUGAUUGUUUUACCUGCAAGUUGAUUGGUUCAAGUGCCGGUUUUGCUUCAUCUAUGUAUAUUCUUUACCAAGCUAGAUCAUUGAAAUCAUGGUAUGCAAAACUUGGUUGUGGAUUAGCUGCAUGCGGUUUGUUUGGUUUUGGCGUUGCGCGAUGGCAGAAGUAAAGAAUAAAUAAAAAGCUUAAUAAUAAUUUUAAGCAAACAGCAUGUAAUCUAUGUACUCAACAUUAGUUUUUCAAGAACAUUUAACAA